RNAcentral lists this ribosomal RNA (206 nucleotides) under uncultured bacterium. RNAcentral describes it as "partial 16S ribosomal RNA". It matches the Rfam family "Bacterial small subunit ribosomal RNA", at positions 568 to 774 of the family's 1533-position model. The record is from RNAcentral.
AGCGCAGACGGUGUGGCAAGUCUGACGUGAAAGGCAUGGGCUCAACCUGUGGACUGCAUUGGAAACUGUCAUACUUGAGUGCCGGAGGGGUAAGCGGAAUUCCUAGUGUAGCGGUGAAAUGCGUAGAUAUUAGGAGGAACACCAGUGGCGAAGGCGGCUUACUGGACGGUAACUGACGUUGAGGCUCGAAAGCGUGGGAGCAAACA